Molecule: long non-coding RNA, 556 nt
Organism: Vicia villosa (hairy vetch)
Lineage: Eukaryota; Viridiplantae; Streptophyta; Magnoliopsida; Fabales; Fabaceae
Exons: 2
Source: RefSeq, a predicted model, not a curated record
AAAAAAAUAAUCCUUUUAAUUUUAAGAAAGAACUUUUGCAACUAUAUAAAAAACCGUACUAUUUAAUUGAUGUAAGGAAAGUUAAAACUUCAAAAAGAUAUAAAUUGAUAAAAUCAUUUCUCAAACACAAAGAAAAAAAUAUGGUAGAGAUUGUGAAAUUUGUUUAUAUUAUGAUUAUCUUUAUUUUUCUAUUUCCGGUGUCAUCCAAGUCCAACCAUGGAGGAGUAGCUAAAUGUAAAAACGAUAGUAAUUGUUAUCGUUUCAAUUUUUUGUGUCUGCCACCAAUGAUAAUGACGUGCUACAAUAAACUAUGCACAUGUGUUAAAGUGGCCUCUCUCAUCCAUUAUGUUCCGGUAUAAUUCUGCAUUAGUGGGAAGCAAGUACACCAAUGUUUUUGAACUCUAAUAUCGUUAUUGUAUUGUCAUCUCAUAAUUUGUUUUUUUUUUCCUUCUCAUUUCAAGAUAUUGUGCAUAAUUUUGUUUAAGUUGUAUUCUUCUCUCUCAAUUGCAAAAUAUCUCUAUAAAUUUUAAUUUAAGCAUGGCUCAUAUUCAUUUCA